CUGGAGAAGCGUCCUCAGCGAC
This 22-nucleotide non-coding RNA is filed under the name Arabidopsis thaliana (thale cress). The record is from RNAcentral. Lineage: Eukaryota; Viridiplantae; Streptophyta; Magnoliopsida; Brassicales; Brassicaceae.